This 122-nucleotide ribosomal RNA is filed under the name Janthinobacterium lividum. Its description in RNAcentral is "partial 16S ribosomal RNA". It matches the Rfam family "Bacterial small subunit ribosomal RNA", at positions 1 to 116 of the family's 1533-position model. RNAcentral also lists the same sequence under 2 other names. Lineage: Bacteria; Pseudomonadati; Pseudomonadota; Betaproteobacteria; Burkholderiales; Oxalobacteraceae. The record is from RNAcentral.
AGAUUAAACUGAAGAGUUUGAUCCUGGCUCAGAUUGAACGCUGGCGGCAUGCCUUACACAUGCAAGUCGAACGGCAGCACGGAGCUUGCUCUGGUGGCGAGUGGCGAACGGGUGAGUAAUAU